RNAcentral lists this ribosomal RNA (1293 nucleotides) under Chryseobacterium sp. IIL-Nv10. RNAcentral describes it as "bacterial SSU rRNA". It matches the Rfam family "Bacterial small subunit ribosomal RNA", at positions 95 to 1395 of the family's 1533-position model. Lineage: Bacteria; Pseudomonadati; Bacteroidota; Flavobacteriia; Flavobacteriales; Weeksellaceae. The record is from RNAcentral.
GCGGCGUACGGGUGCGGAACACGUGUGCAACCUGCCUUUAUCUGGGGGAUAGCCUUUCGAAAGGAAGAUUAAUACCCCAUAAUAUGUUGGAUGGCAUCAUUCGACAUUGRAAACUCCGGUGGAUAGAGAUGGGCACGCGCAAGAUUAGAUAGUUGGUGAGGUAACGGCUCACCAAGUCUGCGAUCUUUAGGGGGCCUGAGAGGGUGAUCCCCCACACUGGUACUGAGACACGGACCAGACUCCUACGGGAGGCAGCAGUGAGGAAUAUUGGACAAUGGGUGAGAGCCUGAUCCAGCCAUCCCGCGUGAAGGACGACGGCCCUAUGGGUUGUAAACUUCUUUUGUAUAGGGAUAAACCUACUCUCGUGAGAGUAGCUGAAGGUACUAUACGAAUAAGCACCGGCUAACUCCGUGCCAGCAGCCGCGGUAAUACGGAGGGUGCAAGCGUUAUCCGGAUUUAUUGGGUUUAAAGGGUCCGUAGGCGGAUCUGUAAGUCAGUGGUGAAAUCUCACAGCUUAACUGUGAAACUGCCAUUGAUACUGCAGGUCUUGAGUGUUGUUGAAGUAGCUGGAAUAAGUAGUGUAGCGGUGAAAUGCAUAGAUAUUACUUAGAACACCAAUUGCGAAGGCAGGUUACUAAGCAACAACUGACGCUGAUGGACGAAAGCGUGGGGAGCGAACAGGAUUAGAUACCCUGGUAGUCCACGCCGUAAACGAUGCUAACUCGUUUUUGGGCUUUCGGGUUCAGAGACUAAGCGAAAGUGAUAAGUUAGCCACCUGGGGAGUACGAACGCAAGUUUGAAACUCAAAGGAAUUGACGGGGGCCCGCACAAGCGGUGGAUUAUGUGGUUUAAUUCGAUGAUACGCGAGGAACCUUACCAAGGCUUAAAUGGGAAAUGACAGGUUUAGAAAUAGACUUUUCUUCGGACAUUUUUCAAGGUGCUGCAUGGUUGUCGUCAGCUCGUGCCGUGAGGUGUUAGGUUAAGUCCUGCAACGAGCGCAACCCCUGUCACUAGUUGCCAUCAUUAAGUUGGGGACUCUAGUGAGACUGCCUACGCAAGUAGAGAGGAAGGUGGGGAUGACGUCAAAUCAUCACGGCCCUUACGCCUUGGGCCACACACGUAAUACAAUGGCCGGUACAGAGGGCAGCUACACAGCGAUGUGAUGCAAAUCUCGAAAGCCGGUCUCAGUUCGGAUUGGAGUCUGCAACUCGACUCUAUGAAGCUGGAAUCGCUAGUAAUCGCGCNUCAGCCAUGGCGCGGUGAAUACGUUCCCGGGCCUUGUACACACCGCCC